UACAUUAAAUUAAAUAUUUUAUUUCAUAGUCACCCUGUAACUCUUGAACCACGUAAACGCGAGAAAGAAGAUCCUUGGUUACAAAUUGACGUUAUCCUCAUAGCAAUUUUAUUAGCAUUAUUAGGAACUUUGUUAACACUUAUAUGCGCCACGGUUAUACAAAGAAUCAGACAUAAAAUCAAAUACAAGAAAGUAAAGCAGCAGGAAAACGAGAAUGUAAAACAAGCGAAUAAAAAAAAAACAAGGAAGAAAUACACCGAAAGCAGUACUAGCGGAACUACUGAUUAUAUAUAUUUAGAAAGCGAUUCGGACACGGAUGUAUAAAAGAAUGUUUAUUUGUAAUCUCAGGAAUAUUUUUAAAAACAGGAUAUCAAUCGUUUUAUCCCAAGCAGCUUCCACUUCGAUGGUAAAUUUCGAUUUCAACGUGUUCUUCAUUACUUCCAUUAUCACUCCUUUUAUAUCCUGAAAUGUAAGAUAAAAAUAAUAUACAACAAGCAUGAAAGAGAAUAAUUGUAUGAGUAUAUAACGUUAUAUAGAUAAAAUGUUGAAAAAAAGCUUAUCGUACACAUUAAUCGUGUUAAAUGAAUUUGUUAAAUGUUAACGAAAAAAAAAAAAAAUUUGUAAAAUUUACUGACACAAUCAUUAUCUUACAAUAUUUAUUUUGAAGAAUAAUUAUCGAUGUUGAAAUGUUAUCGUUAUUUUCCAUCUCGAGAUCAUCGUUGUUGACCUUAUUAUAGAUUAUAAGAUUCAUUAAAUAUCUCGAACAACAACCAUAUUACGUAUUACAUUUUAUAAUUAAGAUAUAUCGAAACAUGGCUGGUAUUUUAUUAAUAAAUAGAAAAAUAUAGAAAUUCUAUACUAUAAUGUUAAUGGUCGAUAUUGAA
Apis florea (little honeybee) is the source of this 884-nucleotide long non-coding RNA. Lineage: Eukaryota; Metazoa; Arthropoda; Insecta; Hymenoptera; Apidae. The record is from RefSeq and is a predicted model, not a curated record.